GAAUGGCCGCAGUAUUUUAACUGUGCAAAGGUAGCAUAAUCAUUAGUCUUUUAAUUGAAGGCUUGUAUGAAUGGUUGGACGAAAUAUUAACUGUUUCAUAAAAAUUGAUUUAGAAUUUUAUUUUUUAGUUAAAAAGCUAAAAUAUUUUUAAAAGACGAGAAGACCCUAUAGAUCUUUAUAUUUUAUAUAUUAUAAUUAUUUAGAUUAUUUGAAUUAUAGAUUAUAUAAAGUAUUUUGUUGGGGUGACAUUAAAAUUUAAUUAACUUUUAAUUAAUAUUUACAUUAAUUUAUGAGUAUUUGAUCCAUUAUUAAUGAUUAAAAAAUUAAGUUACCUUAGGGAUAACAGCGUAAUUUUUUUGAAGAGUUCAUAUCGAUAAAAAAGAUUGCGACCUCGAUGUUGGAUUAAGAUAUAAUUUUGGGUGCAGCAAUUCAAUUAUUAAGUC
RNAcentral lists this ribosomal RNA (443 nucleotides) under Hoplosathe frauenfeldi. RNAcentral's name for it is "partial 16S ribosomal RNA". It matches the Rfam family "Bacterial large subunit ribosomal RNA", at positions 1925 to 2577 of the family's 2925-position model. Lineage: Eukaryota; Metazoa; Arthropoda; Insecta; Diptera; Therevidae. The record is from RNAcentral.